Molecule: ribosomal RNA, 292 nt
Filed under: uncultured bacterium
Lineage: Bacteria
Description: partial 16S ribosomal RNA
Rfam family: Bacterial small subunit ribosomal RNA
Source: RNAcentral
GUGUCAGCAGCCGCGGUAAUACGUAGGGUGCGAGCGUUGUCCGGAUUUAUUGGGCGUAAAGAGCUUGUAGGCGGCUCGUCGCGUCGGGUGUGAAAACUCGCGGCUCAACCGCGAGCCUGCACCCGAUACGGGCGGGCUGGAGUUCGGCAGGGGAGACUGGAAUUCCUGGUGUAGCGGUGGAAUGCGCAGAUAUCAGGAGGAACACCGGUGGCGAAGGCGGGUCUCUGGGCCGAUACUGACGCUGAGAAGCGAAAGCGUGGGGAGCGAACAGGAUUAGAUACCCUGGUAGUCC